RNAcentral lists this long non-coding RNA (823 nucleotides) under Androctonus crassicauda. The record is from RNAcentral. Lineage: Eukaryota; Metazoa; Arthropoda; Arachnida; Scorpiones; Buthidae.
UAAAAUAAAUUUUCAUAGCGAGCGGUUCCUGACAUGACAUAUGCAUCGGGGUUGGCUCGAUGCCGGGGAUCAAGGUGUUCGGUUUCCGGAGGAACUCACGGUAUAUAUAUAUAUGUCUUUCUCAGUUUCUUCUUUCUCUCCUACGAAAUCCUUAUCAUCUUAUAUUUAGUGGAUUUAAAGAUAUCCUUUCCCAUGGAUGAAUGAUAACAGUGCUUGUUUUCUUCCUCAGAGUGCAGCCUGACCUGUUACUAAUGACAAAGUUGAGUCUGUCUUAUGAGCAAUUAAUAAUUUCUCUUUGUAGAUAGCAACUAAUAUGAAUCAUUGAUGAUAUACAAAUAUUGACUGAUGUACUUAUUAUAGAUGAAGUUCUGACUGUAUUUUUCUGUGGAUGAUAUCUUUCUCUGAUUAUUCUUGUUCAUGGAGGAAGGCUGACUGAUGUUUUUCAGUUGGAAUCCCAAACAGAUUCCUGCCCACUCAACACAUACAUCAGUCCUUUCCCCUAGGGAAAGGCAAUGUUUUUCUGAUCAUCAUCUUCUCAGUUACAUUUCUUUCUAUGCCCUCAUUGCAACAUCAUAUAAUUCUUUAUUUGACUGUAAUUCUCAUUUAUUAAUUUUCUUCCCUCAUAGAGGACAAGGAAAUUCAUGCUGGCUGGUAUGAUAAACAUAUUUAAUGAUUACAAAUUUAUGGACUCAAUACUCCAUUAUUUAAUCCUUGAGUGAUAAACACUCAAAAUCAAAUUUUUAAUUUUUCACUAUUUAUGCAACGUUGUGGAUGGCUUCAAAAAAUCAAAUAACACAAUUUUAAUAGAUUCUUUCUAAUGUUA